Molecule: non-coding RNA, 27 nt
Filed under: Mus musculus (house mouse)
Lineage: Eukaryota; Metazoa; Chordata; Mammalia; Rodentia; Muridae
Source: RNAcentral
UACAAAAGCAGGACCGUUGUCCAAUCC